UACAGAGGUCUCAAGCGUUGUUCGGAUUCAUUGGGCGUAAAGGGUGCGUAGGCGGCGCGGUAAGUCGGGUGUGAAAUCUCGGAGCUUAACUCCGAAACUGCAUUCGAUACUUCCGUGCUUGAGGACUGGAGAGGAGACUGGAAUUUACGGUGUAGCGGUGAAAUGCGUAGAUAUCGUAAGGAAGACCAGUGGCGAAGGCGGGUCUCUGGACAGUUCCUGACGCUGAGGCACGAAGGUCAGGGGAGCAAACGGG
This 253-nucleotide ribosomal RNA is filed under the name uncultured bacterium. RNAcentral describes it as "partial 16S ribosomal RNA". It matches the Rfam family "Bacterial small subunit ribosomal RNA", at positions 524 to 776 of the family's 1533-position model. The record is from RNAcentral.